RNAcentral lists this long non-coding RNA (28563 nucleotides) under Malus domestica (apple). Its description in RNAcentral is "long non-coding RNA (MDOM_LNC016929)". Lineage: Eukaryota; Viridiplantae; Streptophyta; Magnoliopsida; Rosales; Rosaceae. The record is from RNAcentral.
CUGGGGGUCUGGCUCUCGAGAUUCGGAGAGCGGUGUCUCUUCGAUUUUUGAGAAAGUAAUCAUGUUGGGAGUUUGGCUCUCGAGAUUCGGAGGGCGGUGCCUCUUCGAUUUUGGAGCAAGCAAUCUUGUUAGGGAGUGUUUUCUCGAAUGUGAGUAAAGGUUGGGCAUGUUUGCUAGUCUACCUUGCCACGAAGCACAGAGGUUGACACACAGGGACUUUCCAAUUAUCCAGCAGUGGUACUGUUCCUUUACCCUCUCUUCGAUUUUUGAGAAAGUAAUCAUGUUUGGAGUCUGGCUCUCGAGAUUCGGAGGGCGGUGCCUCUUCGAUUUUGGAGCAAGCAAUCUUGUUGGGAGUGUUUUCUCGAAUGUGAGUAAAGGUUGGGCAUGUUUGCUAGUCUACCUUGCCACGAAGCACAAAGGUUGACACACAGGGACUUUCCAAUUAUCCAGCAGUGGUACUGUUCCUUUACCCUCUCUUCGAUUUUUGAGAAAGUAAUCAUGUUGGGAGUCUGGCUCUCGAGAUUCGGAGGGCGGUGCCUCUUCGAUUUUGGAGCAAGCAAUCUUGUUGGGAGUGUUUUUCUCGAAUGUGAGUAAAGGUUGGGCAUGUUUGCUAGUCUACCUUGCCACGAAGCACAGAGGUUGACACACCGGGACUUUCCAAUUAUCCAGCAGUGGUACUGUUCCUUUACCCUUGUGGGUAAUAAUAUGGUAGCUAGACCUUCAAAAUUUAUGUGUCUAAACUUUGUUAGUGUUGUUUCUUUGCUAAUUCUUUUACCCUUCUUGGUCAGAGCGAUGUAGUGGGAGCUGCAAGCUUCACGUGUCUCAACUUUGUCAGAGAACUUUGGCAAAGUUAUCUGUGGUACCCAUGAGCUUACUGUUGCGUGUGGGAAGUGGGUGAUUGAACAGUACGAUUCAUGUGCUUUCUACUUCGCCAGAAAUCUUCGACAGAAUGCCCAUAAUUUCCGCAAAGCUGAGUGUGCGUGUGACAGGUGCUGACAAGGCUGGAAAAAGUAGGUGCCUCUUCGAUUUCUGAGAUCGGCCCUCGUGGUCUCUGAGCAGCCCAGCUUUUGAGAAAGCAAGCCUCUUCGAUUUCUGAGAUCGGCCUUCGUGGUCUUUGAGCAGCCCAGCUUUUGAGAAAGCAAACGCCUCUUCGAUUUCUGAGAUCGACCCUCGUGGUCUCUGAGCAGCCCAGCUUUUGAGAAAGCAAACGCCUCUUCGAUUUCUGAGCAGGCGCCUCUUCGAUUUCUGAAGCUUCGUCGAGUGCAGAUUUUUAUAGGGGCUGACAUUAAGUUCCAAAGCACACUUGAAUAUCCACCAGUAGAAGCUCCAUUCUUGCACUUCUAAGAUCUUGAUUUGUCCGACCUCUUCUCUCUUCAACACCUUUGAAAAUGUCUGGCCCCUCCGACCGUCGUUUUGACUUGAACCUUGUUGAAGAGGCAGCCCCGCCUUCUCCAGACAACAUAUGGCGCCCAUCCUUCGUCUCCCCUACUGGUCCUCUUACCGUUGGGGAUUCCGUGAUGAAGAAUGAUAUGACCGCUGCGGGUAGUGGCCAGGAACCUUCUCACUCCCAAAGAUAACAGACUACUUUCCAAACGGUCUGAUGAGUUGGCUGUUAAGGAUUCUCUGGCUCUCAGUGUUCAGUGUGCAGGUUCUGUGUCUAAUAUGGCCCAACGCCUAUUUGCUCGAACCCGCCAAGUUGAAUCAUUGGCGGCUGAAGUGAUGAGUCUCAAACAGGAGAUUAGAGGGCUCAAGCAUGAGAAUAAACAGUUGCACCGGCUCGCACAUGACUAUGCUACAAACAUGAAGAGGAAGCUUGACCAGAUGAAGGAAUCUGAUGGUCAGGUUUUACUUGAUCAUCAGAGAUUUGUGGGUUUGUUCCAAAGGCAUUUAUUGCCUUCGUCUUCUGGGGCUGUACCGCGUAAUGAAGCUCCAAAUGAUCAACCUCUGAUGCCUCCUCCUUCUAGGGUUCUGUCCAGUACUGAGGCUCCGAAUGAUCCCCCUCCGGUGCCUUCUCUUUCUGGGGCUCUACCGACUGCUGAGACUUCUCCUAAGCAACCUUUGUGAAGGCUCCCUCUUGUUUGUUUAUUUUGACUCAAGUAUAUGUACAUAUUUGUAACUUAUCGGGGAUAUCAAUAAAUAAGCUUUCCUUCAUUUCAACGUAUUGUGUUAAAUACACCAAAGCCUUCUUCGCUAAGUUCUUUGAAUUUUCUUUUGUUGAAGCUUGUAUGUUGAAGCUUUGUGAGUGGAGCAUGUAGGUUGAGGUAGUGUUCCCUUAAUUUCCCGAGUGAGGAAAACUUCUCGGUUGGAGACUUGGAAAAUCCAAGUCACUGAGUGGGAUCGGCUAUAUGAAUCUUAGAACGCCAUUGUGUUCUGUCCUGUGUCAUGUCCUCCGUUAGAUCCAAGUACUCUAAGUCUUUUCUUAGGGUCUCUUCCAAAGUUUUCCUAGGUCUUCCUCUACCCCUUCGGCCCUGAACCUCUGUCCCAUAGUCGCAUCUUCUAAUCGGAGCGUCAGUAGGCCUUCUUUGCACAUGUCCAAACCACCGUAACCGAUUUUCUCUCAUCUUUCCUUCAAUUUCGGCUACUCCUACUUUACCCCGGAUAUCCUCAUUCCUAAUCUUAUCCUUUCUCGUGUGCCCACACAUCCAACGAAGCAUCCUCAUCUCCGCUACACCCAUUUUGUGUACGUGUUGAUGCUUCACCGCCCAACAUUCUGUGCCAUACAGCAUCGCCGGCCUUAUUGCCGUCCUAUAAAAUUUUCCCUUGAGCUUCAGUGGCAUACGGCGGUCACACAACACGCCGGAUGCACUCUUCCACUUCAUCCAUCCAGCUUGUAUUCUAUGGUUGAGAUCUCCAUCUAAUUCUCCGUUCUUUUGCAAGAUAGAUCCUAGGUAACGAAAACGGUCGCUCUUUGGUAUUUCUUGAUCUCCGAUCCUCACCCCUAACUCGUUUUGGCCUCCAUUUGCACUGAACUUGCACUCCAUAUAUUCUGUCUUUGAUCGGCUUAGGCGAAGACCUUUAGAUUCCAACACUUCUCUCCAAAGGUUAAGCUUUGCAUUUACCCCUUCCUGAGUUUCAUCUAUCAACACUAUAUCGUCUGCGAAAAGCAUACACCAAGGAAUAUCAUCUUGAAUAUGUCCUGUUAACUCAUCCAUUACCAACGCAAAAAGGUAAGGACUUAAGGAUGAGCCUUGAUGUAAUCCUACAGUUAUGGGAAAGCUUUCGGUUUGUCCUUCAUGAGUUCUUACGGCAGUCUUUGCUCCUUCAUACAUAUCCUGUAUAGCUUGGAUAUAUGCUACUCGUACUCCUUUCUUCUCUAAAAUCCUCCAAAGAAUGUCUCUUGGGACCCUAUCAUACGCUUUUUCCAAAUCUAUAAAGACCAUGUGUAAAUCCUUUUUCCCAUCUCUAUAUCUUUCCAUCAAUCUUCGUAAGAGAUAGAUUGCCUCCAUGGUUGAGCGCCCUGGCAUGAACCCGAAUUGGUUGUCCGAAACCCGUGUCUCUUGCCUCAAUCUAUGCUCAAUGACUCUCUCCCAGAGCUUCAUUGUAUGACUCAUUAGCUUAAUACCCCUAUAGUUCAUGCAAUUUUGUACAUCGCCCUUAUUCUUGUAGAUAGGCACCAAAGUGCUCGUUCGCCACUCAUUUGGCAUCUUCUUCGUUUUCAAAAUCCUAUUGAAAAGGUCAGUGAGCCAUGUUAUACCUGUCUCUCCCAAAACUUUCCACACUUCGAUUGGUAUAUCGUCUGGGCCUACUGCUUUUCUAUGCUUCAUCUUCUUCAAAGCUACAACCACUUCUUCCUUCCGGAUUCUACGAUAAAAAAGAGUAGUUUCUACACUCUUCUGAGUUACUCAACUCCCCUAAAGAAGCACUCCUUUCAUGUCCUUCAUUGAAAAGAUUAUGAAAAUAACCUUUCCAUCUGUCUUUAACCGCGUUCUCUGUAGCAAGAACCUUUCCAUCCUCAUCCUUGAUGCACCUCACUUGGUUUAGGUCCCUUGUCUUCUUUUCCCUUGCUCUAGCUAGUUUAUAGAUAUCCAACUCUCCUUCUUUGGUAUCUAGUCGCUUAUACAUAUCGUCAUAAGCCGCUAACUUAGCUUCUCUCACAGCUUUCUUCGCCUCUUGCUUCGCUUUUCUAUACCUUUCACCAUUUUCAUCGGUCCUAUCCUUGUAUAAGGCUUUACAACAUUCCUUCUUAGCCUUCACCUUUGUUUGUACCUCCUCAUUCCACCACCAAGAUUCCUUUUGGUGUGGGGCAAAGCCCUUGGACUCUCCUAAUACCUCUUUUGCUACUUUUCGGAUACAACUAGCCAUGGAAUCCCACAUUUGGUUAGCUUCCCCCUCUCUAUCCCACACACACUGGGUGAUUACUUUCUCUUUGAAAAUGGCUUGUUUUUCUUCUUUUAGAUUCCACCAUCUAGUCCUUGGGCACUUCCAAGUCUUGUUCUUUUUUUCUCACUCUUUUGAUAUGUACAUCCAUCACCAACAAGCGAUGUUGAUUAGCCACGCUCUCUCCUGGUAUAACUUUGCAAUCCUUACAAGUUAUACGAUCCCCUUUCCUCAUUAGAAGAAAAUCUAUUUGUGUUUUUGACGACCACUCUUGUAGGUGAUCACAUGUUCUUCUCUCUUCUUAAAGAAGGUGUUGGCUAAGAAGAGAUCAUAUGCCAUUGCAAAAUCCAAGAUAGCUUCCCCAUCCUCGUUUCUCUCCCCAAAACCAUGGCCACCAUGAAAACCUCCAUAGUUGCCUGUCUCCCUGCCCACGUGUCCAUUUAAAUCUCCUCCUAUAAAUAACUUCUCCGUCUGAGCAAUUCCUUGCACCAAGUCUCCAAGGUCUUCCCAAAAUUUCUCCUUCGAACUCGUAUCCAACCCUACUUGAGGUGCGUACGCACUAAUCACAUUGAUAAGUUCUUGUCCUAUUACAAUCUUGAUUGCCAUGAUUCUAUCUCCUACCCUCUUGACAUCUACAACAUCUUGUGUCAAGGUCUUGUCCACGAUGAUGCCAACACCGUUUCUCGUUCUAUUUGUGCCCGAAUACCAUAGUUUAAACCCUGAGUUUUCUAGAUCCUUUGCCUUACGACCAACCCACUUAGUUUCUUGUAGGCACAUAAUAUUUAUCCUUCUCCUCACCAUAACUUCUACUACUUCCAUAGAUUUUCCCGUCAAGGUUCCUAUAUUCCACGUUCCUAAACGCAUUUUGCUCUCUUGAACUCUACCCUUCUGUCCUAGCUUCUUCACCCUUCCCCGUCUAAUAGGAUCAAAGUACUUCUUUUGUGUGUGUCCCGUGUAAAGUUGAUAGGAGCAUAUGCUCCCAAACAACUUUGAGUGGAGUCGUUCGAAAAGAAGUUUCUAUAGCCCCCUUGCUCAUUUAACACUGCAUCCGGGUGCCGAUGGAGAUACAGCGACCCUUGCUCACUUAUCACUGUGCUCAGGCCACACAGCGCGCCACUUACGGGUGACGCCCUAGCUUUAGCGCGAUUUCGUUCUGGAUUCAUUUUCAUAAGGAUUCGACGUGAUCAUGGAGUGCCGGCUGUCGACUACCUGACGCCCUCCCCCUCCUCCUUUAUCCGGGCUUGGGACCGGCAAUGUAAGAUAAACUUACACGGCGGAGUUAUUUACUGCAACCUAAUUAGAAAAAAAAAAAAUAUAGGAAGUGAUCCAAAUGAAGGAAAGACCCAAACAAGACCACUAGUGUACCACAAUAAUAUGUUCCUUGCAUGGUAAACACGCUAACUGAAUUAUUGGAUAAAUCGUCAAGGGAACCAUUAUGAUAUUUUCUAACAUGACCACCAGCGUACCAAGGUGAGCCAAGACCUACACAAAUAUCUAUAAUUGCUAUAUUUGAUACACAGAAUACCAUUAUGCUAGAUUUUUAUAUCUAGCACAUGGUUCUUACUUAUGCACCGAUGCUCACCAUUAUAUGCAUCAUUUAGCUAAAAGAAAAUAUUUCAGCAGAUCUUCAAUUAUAACAGAAUGUAUUUCUAAUUGUCAGAAAAGAAGACCACUGGCAGAUGGUCCAUACUUUUCUUAUGCUCAUCAAGAUAGGCAUAGUUAACAGAAAGAAUUUCAAGCACAUCUUCAAUUCUUAAGAAUAUAAUUAUUGAUUACUUAUUCUAGUUCACAUAUCCCGAACCGAGAAAUUACAUGUGGGGUCAUGUGUGUAAAAUUUGAUGUGCACCACGGACAAGAAUAUUUAAAGAAUAAAGCAUGAAAAUGGAAUGAGAUAAAUUGACUUACUUGGAAAGCGGAGCGAAUCAGCUCCUCAACAUAAUCAACAGUUGCUCCUUUCACAAAAUCAUAUGAAAUAUUGUCGACCACCAACUUUACUCCUUCCUUCUCAAAUACUCUAUUAUGGAAUGUAUGGGUCCCCAGUUAACCAAGCACACUUAAUAAGCAAAAGCGUUUUUAAUCAAGAAUUAUUAUUACAGAGAUGGACUAUAAAUACCUGUCAUCUGGGUGGUGUUUGUCGUCAAGAUCAAAAACAUAUUGGAACCCAGAACAUCCACCAGUUUCUACACUCAAACGUAGCAUCUUUCCCUCUGCUUCACUGGCUUGCAGCUGUUUCAUUCUCUGCAAGACAGUCGUUGAGAAACCAAGCCCAACACAAUAUUCGUUGAGAAACCAAGCUCAACAAAACAAUUCAGGAUUACAGACGCAAAAUGUCAUAGGUUGCAUUAAACUCUCUUCACCAGAAAACUGCAUAUUACGAGCAUGAUAACCGAUUCAAUAAGAACGACAAACAGAUAUGCUACUCAAAUUAUAUGAUAGAAUAAAACCGUUUAGCCGAUUAGUCUUCGUGCAUCCACUAGAAAUUUUGAAGAAAAAAUUCCAAUUAGCACAACCCAUUUCAUUUUUUUUCUAGUCUGUGUUUCUAUUUUGUGAUUCAUUCAUAAAAUCAUCGAAAAUGGUUAGCUAAGCAACAGAAUUAAAACCAUUACAGAUUAAUAACCCAAAAAUAAAAGUGGAAAAUACAGGCAGCCCAAAUGUCAAAUCGCACCGAAAAAAAAAAAGCGAAGGAGAGGGAGAGAGGGAUUACUUGAACACAGGUAUCGGUCAUGUGAACGGAAUCGAGGUCGAGGGCCGGAGAUGGAGAAGAAGAAGAGGCUUCUUCGACAGCAGAAGAGGAAGAGGAAUAGAAGAAAGAAGAGGAUAGAAGCCUCUGGUUCUGCCUGAUUCGAGCUGCAAAGUAGGGCGCGAGCCGGUGAAGAAUCAGAGAUCGCGGUGGACCCAUCGCCUAAUAACGGACCUGUUGGGAUUUUGGACUACAAGAUUUGGGGUGGUUCGGGUGGUCGUCGGCGAAUACGGGGGUCCGGGUGGGGGACAGCGGGAGGGGCUGGCUGGGCUGUGGUCGGGAUGAGGGGCAGAAGGGAGACGCUGCAGGGUAAGGGAGAGGGCCUGGUGAGGGAGAGGACUUGUAAGAAGGGAUAUAACGUCACGUGUCGCUCGUUAUAAUUAGUUUUUGAAAUUUCUUUGUGCUCACCUCCGUAGAAAUAUCAAAGAAAUCACUUAAAUUUUGAUUGAAAUCGACAGAUUUCGUCGAUGUUUGUUAUAUAUCGGUUAAAUAUUGACAAAAUGUCAUAUGACAUUGUCAAAGUUUCAUUUUUAAUUCCGCGUUUUUUAGCAAAUUUACAUUAUUUUUAUCAAAAUGGAUGAUAUCGAUAUUUUCAUAAAUUUGCAUAUCGCUAUUUUCACCGAUUUCAAUACUUUAAACACUGCUUAUAAUAAUAUAAGACCUACUCUGGUGGACCCAAACCCAAAUAUUUAAGUCCACUAAAAGACAUAAUUUAAGCCUUUAAACAAUGAAUGUCACCCAACCAUCCAAACCUAAAUUUCAGGACCUAAAAUGUGUUAAUUGUUGUAGAUGGCUUUAGCCCUAUUAUUUUCAGUAAGGAUUUUUUUUUGUUACUUUGAGUUAUAUUAUCGUAAUUUAAGUUUACAAAUGUUUAACCUAAAAAUUUAAAUUCCGACAAAACUUUCAAAACCGAACAAAUCACACCAACCAACAACUUGAACAAUAAUAAAAAACAUAAAUGAUAGUUCAUAACAUAAAUGAUGGAUCAUAACAUAAACUAAAAACUUGAACAAUAAUUGAAAACAUAAAAUGAUAGUUCAUAUAAGCUAAAACUAUUCACCUUUGUCCUAGUGAUGGGAUUCAAAAAUAAUCGUCGGGAUAGUUUGCAGCACUUGAACCUGAAUCUUAUGCAUUAUGAGUCUUCAUAAUUUCAUCUUGCAUGUCAACAUAAUACUUCUUCUUUCUUGGAGUAUAUUGGCUGAAGUUCUUGGACAGGAUUGAGUCCUCAUAAAAAAAAUUUCUCCAACAUCAUUUGCUUGUCAAUGAGAUCCAUUUUUCUUCUUCUAUCUACCUCAUAGUUACCCCAUUCUUUGCCUCUGAAACUUGACAAUGUGAUCUAAAUAAGUGUGGCGCACUUGACAUAGGGUGGUUGUGUCCUUCAUUGAAAACUAUUACAGCAAACUUUUUCGGAUUAGCGUCCACCCUCUUCUUGUCUUGUUUGCAACAAACAAAUUAUUUCCUUAACCAACAUUCACCAUCACUGGACUUUGUACUACUAUGCUGCUCCCGAAUGCUAAAUUCGGUUGCAAGUGCGUAAUUGUUGUAAAAAGUAUACCCUUCAUACAAUGACUCAAAUUCCAUUUUCAAUUUUGGUUUCAAUUCAUUGUCUACCGUUGGAAAAACUAAUUCAACCCUCCCUACACUAAAUUGAUCCCCUACAUCUACAUCCUUUCUUUCCACCACAAUUUCUUCUAUUCCUAACUCACCCUCCCCCAUCGAAUGACACUUCUAUGUCUACCUGCUACAAAUCUACACAACCCAGCACAAGUUUUGCACCUAUAUAUCUAAAAUCCAAUUUUACGAUUUUAGCCAAGUCCAGUGGUAACCAUCCACCAUUGUGGAUUCAAACCUAGAAUUACAACCAAAAUGGAAUGCAAUUGGAUUAUUAUAGAGGUUCUGGAUUUCUUCAUAGACUAGCCUUCACAUUCUUAGUUUCCUCAGACCUUCUAGAUAAACCCCCAUUGUCAACUCCAACCCAAGCACGUCUUUAAUCCACACCAAAUCAAGAUAUCACACCCUUGACCAACUCUUUCUCUGCCUCUCUUUCUUGGGGAAGACAAACCCAAUAUCUCCCUUUCUCGAAGACAAAAACAUACCCAGUGAACCAAAACAAUUAAAGGUACAAGAUUACCAGGUCACUGUCGCAAUGCACAUUCAAUUCAACUGAAAUCGAUUCCUCACCCCAACUCCCUCUGUCUACCUCUCUUUCCCUUUUCAGCACACCAAGAAUCCCUCAGCUACCCACCUCCUCCUUACUCUCUGACCAAAAUAUGACCAAUGCAAAAAAAAUUUAAAAUUUUUUAAUUGCGCUAGGUCAUAACAACCCAGUUCUACCGUGAGCUCAGCAACUUCUAACCGUCCGAUUUUCACCCGCACCUUAUAAAUGCCCAUCUUUGAUAGCUACUAGUUUUAUGUGAAUCAUGUGGGCUAUUUGUUUUGUGAUCAACUUAUUAACUAUUGAAGGAUAUAGGUGGCCCUUGUUAUGAUAAUUGUGAAUCAAAAUUAUGUAGUACUGAUUCUUUAAUUUAAGUCUUUUGAUCUUGGACAGACAUGUAUCAACUUUAAUUCAUAUGUUGUUGGUGGUGCUUUUGCUGCUAUAAAUCUUGAUGUGAAGUCUAGACUUUUGUGUUUGGCUUUCCUUAUCAAUAUUGUAAUUGUACCACACAUGCUCCAAUUAGUUUUUAGAAUAUCUCCUUAACGGCUUUUGUUGUUGGGAAUAAGUGUUCAAGGUUGUGGCACAUCAUCUCAAAGGUUUGUUCAUGCAUAUGCAUUUCAUGUUUAACUUACUGAUGCAUUUCGACUAGUAACCUUGUUUCGUCAGAGUUGCUUGCUGCUGACACCUUUUAUACGAGAUUUAGCUUUUCACCAUUGAUCUACUUAGAUUGCUUGUACAUUUAAAAGUCUCUUUGUACCUUGUUUGCAGAAAUCAAAGGUUUUGUUUUAAUAGGGUUAGAAGAUUUCAUUUCCUCUUUGGAGAGAGUGUCUAACCCUCAACUAGCUGCCUCUUCCUCUAGCACUCCUCGCAAACCUAGAAUCUGCUCUAAGAGCUAUGUCCCUAGUUGGGAGAAUCCUUUUCCUAUUCCGGCUGAACAUCUUUACCAUGGAGCGUGGUGUGACUCGCGUUAAAACCUACUUAUGCUCGUCCGUCAAUGUUGAGCAUAUGCUGUCUAGGGCUCUCAUAGGGAAGAUGUUCAGUCAAACCCUUGACUCUCGCUUGAUCAAGUGGAAGCUGGGGCUGUAUGGAAGAACGAGGUGAAGAUCACCUUCUAUUUGGACCAUUUUGGUAGGAAGUUGUUUGCUCUUGAAUUCAUGGAUGAGGAUGACUUAAAAUUCGUCAUGAAGAAUCGACCAUGGUAUAUUCGUGGACAAAUCUUCCACUUGGAACGGUGGACAACAAACUUCAAGGACACGGACGUCAUUACCAAGUUGGUUGUUUGGGCUCGGCUAUCUUGAGUCCCUGUGUAAUACAAAAAGGAGAAGAUUAUCAAGGAUAUUUCGCAACCGCUAGGUCAUGUGAUCAAAGUGGAUGAGGUAACUUUAGGUUUAAACAACCUGUUUGUUAAAGUUCUUUUAGAAGCUGACUUACGCUUCCCCCUGAAGCGUGUCCUCAUUGUUAACCAUGAGUAUGACUACCCAAUCUUUAUCAGUUAUGAAAAGAUUUUUGAAGUCUGUUUUUACUGCUGGAGAAUGAGGCUUGAGGGGCAUGUGUGCCCUGAAAUUGAAGCAAAUGGUGGUUGUUCCAUGAUUGACAAGGUUUUUUAUGAUGACCCAUCUGUUUAUCUGGAGGACGUGGUUGUUGAUAAUGAUGUUAAUGCUAGUUUGCAAAAUGAUGUGAUGCUUUGUUUUCCAAAUCCAACAAUUGUCGAGGAGUACACGGAAGUUGAGGAAUCUAGGCAACAUGUUGAGGAUAUAGGGCCUGAAGAGGAGGGUUGGACUAUAGUUGUACCAAGAUGGAGGAAAAAAAUGAACAAGAGGAAAAUGGGUGAUAGUUCUAAGGAUGACAGGUCGUAUAGAGAAGUGGUUGCUAGCCCUAAGCCAAAGUGGGUAGCAAAGGCUAAUAUCGUGCAGGAUUGGAGAAGGGCUGGGAAAUCAAAGCAAAGAGAGCAGCAGGUAAGUGGGAACAAAGAGGAUUAUCGGGACAAUGCAAAUCAUUAUUCUCAACUGGCUACCGAUUAUAUAAUUGAUUGGAAUCUGUCUGAUUUACAAAUGUUUGAUGAUUUGGUUGAGCUUUUGUUUCCAUUUGAGUCUUACUAUAAUAAUGAUCCUAGGCUAGGCAAGGUAAAUUUCUUUGAUGCUAUGUGUGUUUUGUUAAAAAAUCAAGUUAUGAUGAUGUCAAAUGUGGGAAGUUGUGAGUCCAAAGCUAGGGAGAACUCGGGAAGCUUUGUUGCAGCCGUGCUUGUGGCUGAGGUGGCUUCCGUGAGUGCUAGGCCAACUGUGGGAAUGAUGAGUCCAAGAAAAUGUGUCCGUGAAGAGGAAGCUGUUGAGGCUAGUCCAUCCGCUUCUGUUGAGGAAAUAAACUGAUGAAGGGUAUUGUUUGGAAUUGUAAGGGUUGGGGAAGACUUGAUUUUACUAGUAAUUUUAGCUUUCUUAAUAGCUUGGUUAAGCUAGACUUCUUUUGUUUUGUAGAAACAAAGUCUAAUGUGGAUAAAGCCCCUAUUAGUUGUUUUAGAAGGUUGUUUUUAUCAAUCUUUUGGUUUUAACCUUGAGGGGAGAUCGGGUGGCAUAUUUAUGUGUUGGAAUCAAUGUAUUAAAAGCGUGAGGCGUGGGUGAGGCGUUCGAGGGAUAACCCAGCCUAGGCAUGAGGCAAAGCCUCACGAGACUUAAAUUUUUUAAUAUAUACACUAAGUGUACACAUAUAUUAUAUUAAAAAAGAAGAAGAUUAUUAAUCAAUAAUCACUCUGAGUACACAUAUAUUAUAAAUAUACACACACACACACAAAUAUAUAUAUAUAUAUACAUAUAUUAUAUUAUAUAUAUAAUAGACGAUGUAAAGCAUAGUGAGCACACAUAUAGCAAUGCACGAAGACAGUAAACACCUCUAUUAUAUAAAAAAAAUAAAAAUAAGAAAAAAAAAUAGGGAGACGAUAGUGCAAGGAAGAGGUAUGAGGCAGUUAAAACCCUACCCAAAAUUUGGGUUUGGGAGUUUGGGAAAAAAAAAAAAAAAAAACCCUGAGGCGCCCCUAGGUGGCUCCAACGAAGCCUUUCGCCCACUCCAGCAAAACAGAGGCCUUCGUCUUAUCGCCCAGCCUCAAAGGUGCCCUAGGCGUGCCCAAAGGCUAGUUUUCUUAAAACAUUGGUUGGAAUGAUAGUGCACUUAAUCUGAAUGUGAUUGAUGUUUCUCCUAGACAUAUCCAUGCUCUAGUUAAAGAUGUGCGUGCAAACAUUGAGUACUAUGCUAUUUUUGUCUAUGUCUAUCCUCAAAAAUCUCUCCAAGAUAGUUUGUGGGAGGAGUUUUUAUCCUUAAACCCCGACGAUAAGCCCUGGAUGUUGCUAGGAAACUUCAACAAUAUUACAUGCAUUCAGGAAAAAUAGGGUGGAACCAAAGAGUCAAUGCUCGUAUGACUAAAUUUGUGGACUUCUUGAACAAUGAUGGGCUUAUUUUGUUACAAGCUUCGGGUGUUCCUUUCACUUGGAUUAACAAACACAAGGAUGACUUGCUUAUUUUUGAGAGAUUAGACACGGUCAUUGCCAAUUCCUAUUGGUUUGAAUUGCACCCAAGCUAUAUUCUUCACAAUUGUCCUAUCCUGGGGUCUAACCACAGUCAUGUGUUUAUUGAUACCGUUGGUUCUCAAGUUAGUCGAAAAAGAAAGUGCUUCAAAUUUGAAGCCAUUUGGAAUCUUCACCCUGAGUUUAAACAGUUUGUUAAGGGGGCUUGGAAUGCAGUGAGGGACUUCCCCUCUUAAUCAUUUUAGAGGUUGCUUAAGUACUUUUGCGUUUCUUGUUAAACAUUGGAAUCGUGCUAUUUUUGGGUCAGUUAGGGAGAAAAAAAGAUAAAAUUUUGAAGGAGCUUGACACACCCCGACCGAGAUCAAGGCAUGCUGGCCGUCACGUGAGAGUGACGUAGCCAUGUGCACAAUGUGGAAACAAUAAAGAUAGCAACUAUACGAAUAAUUAAAAACCAGAUUACUAAAGUGCAUUACUAAACGAAAGUGAUAGGAGUUAGUUACAACAGUGAACGCUCCUAAUCAGAGCAUAAAGUCUAGGUGCAGUCCAGUAGGACAAGUACUAGUUACACAGUACCAGGAAUGUCUUACUAUUAUUCAAAUAGGUCAGAAUUGCUGACGAUCCCGAGCCACCAACAGCAAGCUUACUUAAAACCUAGAGGGGCGCAAAACAGAAAAUGUGAGUGGGCAAAAACAAAUGUUUUACAAAAUCGUUUUCUUAUGAACAUAUCUAACCCCUCGCUGUAAAACAUGUAUAAUUUUUCUCAGAAUCAGAAUAUAAGCAAAUGCAUAAUAUAUAUAUAUAUAUACACACAUAUAUACAUAUAUAUGAAUUCAUAUCAAUUCAAUUCAUGCUUCACAUAAUCAUAUUCAGAUAUAUAUACCAUGCCCAUAUAUAACAGAGUAAACAAUUUAGGUAAAAAUGAAUUCAUAGAAAUAUGAUAUGUUAGCCGAAACCCCUGUGGUAGUUUGUACGGCUGAAUUCAUAGCUCAAAAUCAAUCUAGUCAGAGUCACUACAAUGACUUAUACGGCAAUAUAUUGCACAUAAGUCGGAACCCCUACAAAGGUCUGUACAACAAGAUUGGGUGUAAUAUAAUUAUGCUCAAUUUUACUCUCUCAUAAUAGCCGGGCGAUAAAUCGCUAGUCACCUACGAGUCGGAACCAUAAAUAAGGUAUGUACGACAAGACUGUGUACUUAGGUUGGAUCCAAUGUGAGCAUAUAGUGCGGGAGGUGACGUAAAUAAACAGGCCUGUACUUUAUAUCUCUGGCUAAAUCAUAAACACCCUAGGUGCAGUUGUAUGAGCUCAACAUUACUUAAUUACAUAUCACAUAUCACAUCAUCGAUGAUUCACGCAAUCAAACAUAACUUACCUGCACUCACCUGUGCCUCCACAGCACCUCAUUUAUAUAUAUAUGCAACCAUGCAAUGCAUAUUCAAAAUAUAGAAGCAUUUGGCAUAUUAUUUCAAAGCAUACUUUCCUUAAAAAUGCAUUUAUGGGAAAUAUACCAAGUAUAUAAAUAUAUACUGAAAACAAAAGUCCACUCACUAAUAUGUCGAAGGGUCGUAGCCCUCGAGUCACCCGUGGAUACGCUCGUCCUCGGGAUAAGCUUCACAUAUAUGUGAAUUAACUAUAAAACAUACGCAAUACUAGCUAAUAACUUCUCAUACAUUACUCAAAAUAGGUAUAUGAAUAUACCACAGUGAUCUACAUAACCUCAGGAUCAUCCCCAUAUUUUUAGAAAUAUUUUUGGACCUCCCAUGCGCCGCCACGCGUCGGCGGGUGCACGGGCAAGACGUGCCACCACGCGCAUGGAAUCCUGACAGAUUCCUUAACUGCCGUUAGGAAUAUUCCUCAUAAUAUUCCAUUAAAACCCAAUGGAAACCGUCCAAAUUAACUGACGCCAUGAGAAUAUUCCGUCCAAACUGACGGAAUAUUCCGUCUUCGUCCCCAACGAGUCACCGGUCGCCGGAAAACUGGUUAAAACUUUAAACUCACUAUGCUCACUCAUUUCUUAACCAUUUUUAUGAAAUUUGAACCAAAUGAAAGCUUAGAGUGAGAAGAAUGGCAUUAUACCUAUUUGGAGCUUCAAAUCUCACGAAAUUCCGACCAAACCUGCAACUCUUCAUUUCCCACGAUCCCGACAUCCAAAUUCUUCAAAUGAACUACCCCGAUACUCAUGAGAACCUCAUUAAGCUUCCUAUGAGCUUAGAAUUCCCUGAAAAUAACAUAUUUACGUGUGCAUGAACAGUGCACAAUUCGAGGGUUAGGUUUCACGGGGUUUUCGAAGGUUUCAGGUUCUAAAACUUGCACCAAUGGACUCCUGAGGUCAAAAGGAACAUGAAAUUGCUUACCUUGGUUUCGAUCUGCAAGGUUUGAGAUGGUUCUUGGAUUUCCCAUACGAAAAUGCCGAGAGGAAGAGAGAGAAAAGUCCACGGGAGAGAGAGAAAAGGUAUGUGUGUGGUCCAAAAGCCACCAAUCAAAAACCAAUAAUUCCCUUACUUCCAAUUGGGUCCAAAAACUUAGGGAAAAAUAACAAAUGGGUCCAAAUCCAACUUAAAUCACACAAUACACUUUAACGUCUAAGGGUAAAAUUGUCAUCGAAAAUAAUCUUUCGAGACGGGCUGUGACAGAGCUGGACUGUGUCUAGAAGGAACUUAUAUCUUUCAACUAUAAUGCUAACUCCUCAAACAAUUUCAGUGAAAAAGUUCACCUAGAGGCUCAAAUUAAUGAAAGUCUUGCUCAAGUCCUUAAGGAGGAGGAAGUGAUGUGGGCGCAAAAAACAAAAUCUAAUUGGUUAAAGCAUGGUGAUAAAAAUACAAGAUUUUUCCAACUUUGUGCUACAAUUAGAAGAAAGCAAAACAAAAUUAAUAAAAUCAAAGAUGGCAAUGGUAUUUGGUGGUAGAGGUAAGGGCUUGGAGCAAGUUUUUGUGCAGGAAUUCAAAACGAGAUUCACCAAUCGAUCCAACCCCCCUCCUCACUGCUGAGCACACCAACUUGAUCUCUCAUGUAAUAAAACCAUGCAUUUCGAAUGAUCAUAAUACCAUGUUAACUGAGGCUCCUUCAAGUGACGAGAUUUGGAAUGCUAUUAAAAGCAUGGAGGCUCUUAAAGCCCCAAGGCCGGAUGGUAUCCAUGCGAGUUUCUUCUAAGAAUGCUGGGAGGAGGUAGGGCCUUCAAUGUGCAAUGUGGUGAAAGACUUUUUUGUAAUUAACACAAGCCUAAAGUUAAUCAACCAUACCAACAUUGCCCUAAUCCCAAAAGUGGAGAAUCUGGAAACAAUCAAUAAUUAUCGCCCAAUCAACCUCUAUAAUGUUAGCUACAAGAUUAUAACGAAAGUAAUGAUCAUUAGGUUAAGGCCCCUUUUGCAGGAGUGUCUUUCGCCCAACCAAUGAGCCUUUGCUUCAGGUAGGUCAAUACAGGAUAAUAUCCUUAUUGCUCAUGAAUUGUUCUCAACUUUUAACAGGAAGAAAGGUAGAACUAGGUAGCUAGCUAUCAAGCUAGAUUUAGAGAAAGCGUAUGAUCUCUUAAACUAGGACUAUAUUAAAUGUGUAUUGGAAAGGUUUGGGUUUUGUACUAAGUGGAUUAACCUAGUUAUGGAAUGUAUAUCUUCAACUUCUUUUUCCAUUAACAUUAAUGGUAAGUCUCAUGGAUAUUUCAGUGCAAGUAGAGGUAUUAGGCAAGGGGACCCAUUAUCCCCCUAUAUUUUCAUCCUUUGCAUGGAACCCUUGAUUAGGAAGUUGAAUGAGUUAGCGUAUACCCCAAAAUCCCAUAUUGGCCUACUCACUUCCCCGUUUGGCUACAAAGUUUCUAAUCUUGUUUUUGCAGAUGACUGCCUUAUCUUUGCCAAAGCAUCUCCAAGGGGUGCCAUGAAGGUUUUAGAAGUUCUAAAUUGUUUUGCAAGUGCUUCGGGUCAACAAAUAAACUUCAACAAGUCUUCUUUAUACUUUCCCUCUAAUACAACUAACCAGUUACGAAGUGAAAUUGUUAACAUUCUUCAUAUUCAACAUAAGAUCACCAUUGGAAAAUAUCUCGGUAUACACAACAUUGUGUUUUGGAAUGACCAUUUAAAUGGGAACGAGCUAAUUAGGAGAUUCAAACAAAAACUUGCUGGUUGGAAGGCCAACACCCUUUCAAAGGAUGGUAAAUCGCCAAAAUGGUCCAUAAGAUUUGCAUAACUCAUCACUUUGAUCCCUGAGAUUCCAAAUCGAUAAAAGUGGUCAUUGAGAUUGUCCACCAUCCAUCAUUUUGGUCAUUAUGUUAAAAACUCCGUUAAGUGUCCCGGAGCUCUUAGCCGGAAGUUUGGGCAAUUUUCAAAGCUUCAUAACUCAAUUGUUUCUUAACCAAAUUCGACCCAUAAUUUAUCAAAAUGAAGAUAGAAAAGUGUAGAAUAAGAUUAUACCUAUUUCAAAGCUGAAUGGUUGCUAGAGAUGGCAGGAAAAUAACCUCAAAGUUGACUGGUCCGAGUGAAAACUAGGGGUGGGCAAACGGGUCCUGGACCCGCGGGUCGGGGCGGGUACGGGGCGGGUCCAAAAAUAAGAAGGAACGGGCCCCCGGCCCGGCCCGUUUGUAGCAUGCAAUAAUGGAUUGGAAUUGGAUUAGAGUGAUGUUGUGGCCCACUGGCCCUUGACUUACAAGGUCACCCACCAAAUUGGACCAAAUUUGGGAGGCCUUCAAGGUCUCUGUAACCAAUACGUGUCAGAGCAUUUUUAUAUGGUUUAAUUGAAUCCAACUCUCCAACUUUUUUAUCCCCUCAUCUGAUCUCCAGAGACUUUCAUGAUUUCAUCAACCUCCAUUUUCCAUUCAUUCACACUUGAGCUUGUGUCGAGUUCUCGACAACAGUCCGACUUCGCCGAUUUCGCGGCAUUCUUGACUCGAUCUACUACCUCGUCGCCACGAUCCAGGACUGGGAUAGACUCUCAUGGCCGCCGACUAGUCCGUCUGCGUUGCGCAUGUGGGUUUCUUACGGAGCAGGCCACUAUUCCUCUCCCUAACUCGUCUUCUCCUCUCUCCUUGACUCGUUUUUUCUGGGUUUUUUUAUGGUUCUGAUUUUGUGUUGGUUGGGUUUAUUUUUUAUGGUUCUGAUUUGUCGCCUUCUCCUCUCUCCCAGAUGACGAAGGAAGAGGGCUUGAACGGUAUGAGCUGCAUCUGGGUUGUCGCGGAGGAAACGGGGUUCGACGACUGAGGAAGACGACUUGAACCACGUCGUCCCUUUCUGUGUUGACGAAAAAAAUUAUGUAAUAGGAACUGUGUACCUGCCCCGAACCGGCCCGUUUGAAACGGGCCGGGUUAGGUCCGGUUCUAAAACUCUAAAGCACUCUACCCGGCCCGGCCCGCCUCGUUACAUUUUAAAACAGGUAGGUCCGGUUCCUUCAAAUUUGAGCCCGGCCCGACCCGUGCCCAGCCCUAGUGAAAACUUGAAAACUCGCCGGAAACUAGGUAAACUUUAAACGUUCAUAACUUCUUCAAUACUCAACGAAAUCAAGUGAUUCAAAAACGAAAAUCAUACAUCUCGAUGAGAGAAAGAGAAUGGUACCCUUUUUUAUGGCUAACUAGUCGUAGUUUGGCCGGAAAACGGCUUGAAAGUGGCUAACUCGAGACUAAGAUAGCCACUUUCGAGCUGUGUUCCGGACAAAUCAUAGUGCGUUAGCCAUAAAAAAGGUACCAUUCUCUUUCUCUCGUCGAGAUGUAUGAUUUUCGUUUUUGAAUCACUUGAUUUCGUUGAGUAUUGAAGAAGUUAUGAACGUUUAAAGUUUACCCAAUUUCCAACGAGUUUUCAAGUUUUCACUCGGACCAGUCAACUUUGAGGCUAUUUUCCGGCCAUCUCCGGCACCAUUGGGCUUCAAAAUAGGUAUAAUCAUAUUCUACACUUUCUUAUCUUCAUUUUGAUAUAUUAUGGGUCGAAUUUGGUUAAGAAACGAUUGAGUUACGAAGCUUUGAAAAUUGCCCAAACUUCCGACCAAGAGCUCUGGGACACUUAAUGGAGUUUUUACUAGAAGGAUUAAAAUGAUGGAUGAUGGAAAAUCUCAGAGACCACUUUUAUCGAUUUGGAAUCUCAGGGACCAAAGUGAUGAGUUAUGCAAAUCUCAGAGACCAUUUUGGCGAUUUACCCUUCAAAGGCAAGAAGACUCACUCUUGUCCAAUCAAACCUUUCAGGUAUGCCUAAUCAUAUUAUUUCUUGUUUUAAAUGCCCUUUAAGUUAAUAAGCAAAUUAAACAGGGAUUGUAGACAGUUUUUAUGGGGCAAUAGUCAUAAAUGUAAUCCUGCGAGUUGGAAGGAAAUUUGUAGACCAAAGAGUGCGGGUGGCUUAGGUAUCAGGAACCUAGACCAUUUGAAUAAGGCUUGUCUUGCUAAACUAGGUUGGAAAGUGCUUUUUGAUAAGGAUAAUUGUUGGGCUAAUAUAGCCAGAAGAAAAUACCUUAGAUACAUAUGAUGGGUUUCUAGACACCAAAACUAAGCAAAACCACUCGCUUGCCUAAAAUCCUGGGGUCCCGAGACAUUAUCAGUAGGGGUAUGAGGUGGGUGAUGGCAAGGACAUCAUGUUCUGGACUUUCUGGACUCACAACUGGGUUUUUCCUCACCCUCUCUUUCAUCUCAUCCCAGAAAAUCAAGGACAUGAAAUUCAAUAGGGAGAUCAAGGUUGCUGAUUUUAUUGUUGACAGGCACUGGGAUAAGAAUAGGUUAAAUCAAGUAAUAGACACCUAUACAGCAAAUAAAAUCUGUAAUAUUCCUAUUCCUAUUCAUUCUUCCAAGGAUGCAGUUGUCUAGGGGCCUAGUAAUAAUAGUAAGUUCACGGUAAAAUCUGCAACUUGGUUUCAAAUGGAGGAUCUUGGCCAUUCCCCAUCUCAAAACCUUAUAAAUAGAGUGUGGAAGCAAGUCUUGCCUCCCAAACUAAAGUUAUUUGCGUAGAGUCUCAUCAAAGGUAAACUUCAAACUAGAAAGAAGCUAAGCAGGUUCAUUCCCAAUAUAAAUACUCAGUUCCCCAUGUGCAACAACCAAGAGGAAGAUAUUGAUCAUCUGUUCCUCCACUGCCAGUAUGCUAAGUAGGUUUGGAGUUGUGCCACUGAUAUGUCUUUAUCAAAUUUUGAUAUCAACCUCAAGAUAAGUGAUUGGUUUGUGAACCUCUCUCACAAAAAUUCGAAUGCUGUAAGCAAUUUUAGCAAAGCUAUUUCUAUUUGCUGGCAGAUUUGGAAUGGUAGAAAUGGAUGCAUUUUCAGGAAAGAAAGGCAUAUCCAUACCAGAGCUUUUAUCCGGGCUAUGUCUAUGGUUAAUGAGUAUUUCAAGGAUAAUGUGAAGAGCUGGGAAAAUACGCUGGUAACAAGUGAUGAUAAAGUGAUCAAAUGGAAUUGUCCAUCGUACCCAUAUGUUAAAAUAAAUUUCGACGGUUCGGUGUCAAACUCCUUGGCGGCGGGAGGUUUCAUUAUCAGGAACUGGAGCGGUAAACCUAUUCUCGCUGGUGCUAUGAGUUUGGGGUCUUCUACCAUCAAUGUUGCUGAGGCCAUGGCGCUGUGUGAGGCACUAAUCUGGGCUAGGAGGAGAAACUUGACGCAUGUGUGUGCGGAGGGUGACUCAAAACUUAUCAUUGAUGUUGUUCGUGGUGCUUGCGAAACACCGUGGAACUUGAGGUCUAUCAUUGAAGAUAUCAGGUAGUGUGCCUCUUUCUUCCAGGAUAUCAAGUGGGGGCAUGUUUUCAGGAAGGCGAAUUUUGUUGCAGAUGUUAUGGCAUCUAUUGGGCUGAAAAUGGAUAAUCUUUGUAUAUGGGAUCCUUGUCUUCCUGUCGAAGCAAACUUAGCCCUGUUAUUUGAUUGUAAUGGCUCCGGCUGUGUGAGGGGCUUCUCUCUUUAAUGAAGUUUUAUUUUUCCAUAAAAAGAAUAAUUAAAAAAAAGAGUUAAGUUCUGCUGUGACUAGUUUUAUGGACAAGUAAUUUACCCAGAUUCAAAAACAUUGUGUUUCAUCUGAGAAAUGUUACUCCAAAUGCACCCGUUUUGUCAUUCAAGAUCGUGCACAGUUUCGUUGUUUUGCUAUAAGCGGGUUCUUGAAUUUGUUGAGGCACAUUAUUAGUGAAAUAUAAAUUGAGAAUGUCUUGUGUUACAAUUUACAAACUACAGGUUUUCACACAUUUUGCUGAUGCAUUUCCUUAGUUGACACGACAAACUUUUUUCCGGGAGAUUAUUGUGCCUGUAUAGUGAACAAGAACUCUCAAGUUUGUUAAUAAAGAUGAAACAAAUCGUAGGCGAAACUGAAGAACAAGAAUCUACACAUCAACAACUAAUUUUUGUGACUUGUGAACUGGGAACAUGCAUCAGUAAGAAACAAUGUAAAAAGAAAACAAAUUAUAAGACGCAUUCAAUGUUUUCGCACUUCUGGAUUUUUGUCUGCGCCUUAUAUUACGUCUAAGAAUCAUACAAGCUAGGGAAGACGCCGUUCUCUACAUUUACAGGUUCAAUCCACCGCAGUGACAACAAGAAUAACAGAAAAUAUGUAAGUAAGCAUAAAUCCUCAUCAACAUAAUAAUUCGGUCAGUUUUGGUUUGAAAAAGGAAGUUGAUCACUAGGAGCUUCCAAACCCAAGAAACUGGUCUACUAGUUUUGCUACAGACUUUGCCAAGCUGUCUGCUGCAUUCUGUGUGGAUGCCUCUGCAUAUACGCGUAUAACAUCUUCUGUUCCUGAUGGUCGUAUAAAACAUCGGCCUCUAGGGUAUUUAACCGCAAUCAACAGGGAAAAUCCUCAAAAAUUUGUUUGUAAAUUGUAUAUACCAGUAAAAUUAGGAAAAAUGGCAAAUUUUCCUGUGCAACAAACAAAUACUGCUAAUCAACUUAACGGUGCAGACCAAUAAUCAACACGGAUAUCGUGCAGAGCAAAGGACUGAACUGUAUGAAAAAUGAAAGGAGAAAUCUACUUACCGGUUUCAGCGUCAAUGGCUUCUUGAAUGCCAGGGGGUGUCACAGCAGCCACAGUUUCUGCAUUUUCUGUAACAACAGCAGUUCUGUCCAUAACCUUGACCUGAUAAUUGUGAAGCAGAAGAAUUAGUUUCUAGGCACGUUGCGUCCAACAAGAAUAUGGAGGAAACUCAAUUAAUUUUUAAAACAGAUAACAAGAAAGCCCGAAAAGAAAACAACCAUAAAGACAAUAAACUGACCAUAAGAUAGACAGAUGACCAAGGAAACUUGCCUUAAGCUGCCUACUGGGUAGAUCCUGAUAAAGCUCAUUCCACCUCUGUAUCGACCACCCCAUAUGUUUCAGAAUGACCUCAACCAAGAGUACCCCACUCAACGCGUCCCCAACAGCCUGGUUAAUUAAUUCACUAACAGCCAAGAUUCUCAAAGCUGCCUUAUGCUGUUCUGAACCUGAAAAGAAACAAUCAUGUUCUUCAUUUAGAUAGGUAACGGACGAUCAUGUCAGCACUAAUGUAGUGGAUAAAGACUGCUUUAACCUUUAAAUGCAUCAGCAAGCUCAGUAGUCCUGGUCUCUAACCAGCGUAAGUAAUGUUCUGAGAACAAGAUGGUGCCAUGACCAUUUGCUUCAAAGUAAAUCCCAAUAUCAUACUUGGCAGCUUUCUCAUGAAGGUAUUUCACUCCUGUAGGAGUAAAAGUGACUUCUAGGCCUAACUGUUUGAGAUAAUCCAUGGAUGCUCCGUUUGGAUAAGCUGUUUGCACAAUACCAAGGCGACAUUGAUAAUCAUUAUUUCCAUUAACAUCUAUUUCCUUACUCAAAAUGCUUAGUUGCUCCUUGAUGAAUAUAGCAAACAAAGAUAAAAUCUUGUCCCCAUCGACGAGUUCAAUCUUAUUACUACUUCUAGAUGGCACAAUAAAAUAUACAAGCCGAUCAGCAUCACCAUCCAAACUAGCACACCUGAAAAGCUAGAACCAUCCAUACAGUUAGUCCCUGCCUUUGACAUCUAAUGUAACACUUUAGAUCAGUAGUUGAGCAUUACUAAUUGACCAAAUAGAAAAUUUAAGUAGUUUGAAACCCCGAAACAAUGGUUGGAUAUUGCACACUGGCAUCCUUUGGUACCAAACUAGUAUUGGGGUAAAAACAUAUUUAAAAUAAAACCAAACUUGUAUCGUAGCCAACAAAUGUUUGCAUCAAUGAAAAGAUACAUCCAUUGUAAGCAAUCCAACAAGUUGUUAAAUCGGAUCAAAAUUCAAGUUUUCCAAUAGUAGUAUGCUAGUACGACAAACUUUAGUAAUGUUUUCCAAUGUGUUGCAAUAAAGCAUACGAUAAUAAUAACAAAUCAACAAGCCACCAAAAUUCAGGGUUUCUCCCAUCUAUCUCAUAAUCUCAUUAACGUAGUAUAUGUACUUGCAUCCAUAUGUACACAACAGAAUUUGUCAGGAUAAUGCAAUCAUCAGUCAUUCUCCAGCAAUAUCUCUAUGAUGCAGGCAUUUCAAGCAAGUUACUUUAAGUAACUGAUAAUCAAAAUUCAUUUCACAAUCCACAUAUAACUGACCUAAUCCCAACAUCCUGUGAACCAAAACUACAAGGAACGACCUUUUCUUUCUGCACAUGAUCAGCACCAACUCCUUCAUUCAGUACACCCAGCUCCUUCUUUUCCGGAGUUCCGAAUCUCAAUAACCAAACCAGUCAACAUCGUCUUCAAAAGUUCCCAGUUUUUCUCCACCAACACCAUUUGCCCCAUCCACAACCAACUUGUCAUCCACAUCACUGGGAUGAGUUCCACUAGUAAUCAAAUCUACCAAGCACCUAACCAGCCACACAAAACACUUAAUGAAGGCAUUCAAACAACAAUGAAUUUUUUUAAAGAUCAAACUAACUCAUUACACAAAACUCUAGCUCCAACUAACCUAAAUGAGCUUGAAAGCUGCUUGAAGUAAUCGUUGUCUGAUACUUUCAAACCCUUAUUUCUAGCACGAACCAUCCAGUGUAGUUGUGGAGUAGUUAAAAUUCCCAAGUCAUGGGCAACCGCUCCAAUAAUUGAACUGAUUCCCUUUAAAGGAACAAAUGCUAAGAAAUGAGGAGCGUAAAACGAUUUAGAAACUGCAUGGUAAGCAAUGGUAAAAGAGAAGAUACCUGUUUAGCAGCCUCAACCAGAGAUUCUCCACUGGAUCUUGUAUCUCUUGCCAACAAUAUCUCCACGGAUUUUGCUCCAUCGACUGCGAUUUUUUCAUUUUCAACAAAUUCAGCUAUCAACUGUUCAAGAGUUCAAUCAGCCUUGUACACAAAUUCACAAGAAGAAAAGAAAGGAGUGAGCACGCGCACACACACAGAAAGGCUAUAUAGAAAAAGAAAAACAGACAUGAACAAGCUGUUGGGGAUCACGAGCAUUGGUGAGGGUAUCAGCGAAUGGCUCCCAGUCUUGAGAAAGCAUUCCACCACUCGGGUCAGCAACUUUGACUCCAUUAUCAGAGACUUUGUUGUGAGAUGCUGUGAUCAUCAGGCCGAUCACUGAUUGGAUCUUGAGGGCCCUUGGAGCAGCCAAAAUUCCCACCCUGUAAAGUGUGGAUUGGAGGAUUGAGGCAUCAGCUCUGAAGCCAGCCGUUCCAUACGAUAGUUUCACACCUGGUGUCAACUUCUCAAAAUUAACAAACCAGAAACCGAAUUCCGUUGAGAGGAAAGGGAAAAUGCGAGAGGGAGAGAAAUGUGGACCUUGUGGAGGCGGGAAGCGAGAUGAGGAGCUGAGGAGGAGUGAACGUUGGUCUUUAUUCAUGGUUUGUUAAUCCCGAUUGAAACUAACAUCAAAGAGUUUGAGUUUCAGGCAUAUAACUAGCAAUAGUGCCCGCGCGUUUGCUGCGGGUCUUAAAACUACUGGACAUAAAAGAAGAAAACAGCCAGUGCAAACUUGUAAUGGAUAGUUUGUAAUUAAUAGGUUUUUAGUAUGUUCAUGCUAUUUAAACACAGAAAAUAUAAUAAGAAAAAGAAGUUGAGUGUUGGCAAAAAGUGAUGUAAUUUGUGGCAUACCUGUAGUUAGACCUGUGUAAUCGAUUUAGUUGUGAACACUGGUAACAUGUAUAACUCAGAGAACAAAAAAUAGCAGAAACUGAAUAAGAAAAUGAUGUGCAUAGAGAAUAUACUGCAGUAACUAUAAAUUAAGGUUAGAAGUGUUUUAAUUUUGAUAUAAAUUUGUGGUCAAGAAUUAUGCAUAAGAGGAUAACUGCUUUUAUGAGUGAGCAUAUAAUAAGUCAAAACGAUUAUUAAUAAUUAACGAAAUGUUUGAAGUAAAAAAAAAUAUACAUUUGAUGUUGAAAUUCGAUAUCAUAAUGUAACUGUAACUUAUUAGAAGGGUUUAAAUUGGCAUUAACUGGUCUGUAACAGUUUGUCCAAUUAUAUUGAAUAUCAUUAGACCAUGUUGUGAUACGAUGUUACUGGAAAACGAAGAAAAAAUUAUAUAAGCUAUUAGAAACAAUAUACAAUUGUAAAUGUAAAGUUGUGUAAUUUGAUUCUUAAUAAGCAUGCAUAUAUACCGUUUGGAUAUGAAGAAUUAAAAAGCAUAUAGAGCUGUGCACUUAGUUGAGGUAAGAGUUUAGAUGAUGGGAAUCCAUGCUGAUAAUUUGUUGAGGAAAACAAAACUUUAGUUUGAUGUUCAAGCAGAUGGGAACAGACAGAAAGAACAAAAGGUAAAAUACAUAAUAAAAAGAAGAUGAUGUCCAAAGAUUGGAAAAGCAGGUUAAGAAGUAAAUUUAUGUUUAUACCGACUAAAAUGAUUGUCAAAUUUGCAGCAAGCUAUCUUUGAAUGAAUAAAAAAUAGGGUAAAAAUUGUAGGCAAAUUUGAUCAGGUGAACUGGAGAAAAUUGAAAACCAGGAUUAAAAAUGCAUCACAAAUGAGAAUAUGGUGUAAAAUGAUAUGUAAGCCAGUUUUGUACUGAUUCUAAUGUAAAUAUGGGAAAACAGAUGUUCAAAGAUGGAUCCGAUAGAGCUGAUUAGGUGUCUCUGUGUAACACAGAGAUACUAUUUGCUCAGUUAUUUCAGCUUUGAUCAUUUGGAUAAAUAAUCAUCACUUCCAUAUUUUCCCUUCGGUGGGAUGAUCUUUUUGUUUUACAAUGUUAUCUAGGAAGAAACUCAUUGGAUCAUGCAAUAACAAAUAGAAAAACUAUUUAAAAGAAUACAAACAACAACAACAAAGCUUUUUUCCCACAAAGUGGGGUCGGCUAUAUGAAUCCUAGAACGCCAUUGCGCUUGGUUUUGUGUCAUGUCCUCCGUUAGAUCCAAGUACUCUAAGUCUUUUCUUAGGGUCUCUUCCAAAGUUUUCCUAGGUCUUCCUCUACCCCUUCGGCCCUGAACCUCUAUCCCGUAGUCACAUCUUCGAACCGGAGCGUCAGUAGGCCUUCUUUGCACAUGUCCAAACCCAUUUUGUGUACGUGUUGAUGCUUCACCGCCCAACCUUCUGUGCCAUACAGCAUCGCCGGCCUUAUUGCCGUCCUAUAAAAUUUUCCCUUGAGCUUUAGUGGCCUACUACGGUCACACAACACGCCGGAUGCACUCUUCCACUUCAUCUAUCCAGCUUGUAUUCUAUGGUUGAGAUCUCCAUCUAAUUCUCCGUUCUUUUGCAAGAUAGAUCCUAAGUAGCGAAAAUGGUCGCUCUUUGGUAUUUCCUGAUCUCCGAUCCUCACCCCUAAUUCAUUUUGGCCUCCAUUUGCACUGAACUUGCACUCCAUAUAUUCUGUCUUUGAUCGGCUUAGGCGAAGACCUUUAGAUUCCAACAUUUCUCUCCAAAGGUUAAGCUUCGCAUUUACCCCUCCUGAGUUUCAUCUAUCAACACUAUAUCGUUUGCGAAAAGCAUACACCAAGGAAUAUCAUCUUGAAUAUGUCCUGUUAACUCAUCCAUUACCAACGCAAAAAGGUAAGGACUUAAGGAUUGUUGAUGCACAAAAUCAGUGAGGACUUUGGUACAACAGAAAGUAUUAAGUUUGUGAUCUUUGCUAGAUUGCUCUGGUCAUUAGUGUGGAUAAGUAUGUAAAUGGAUAGAGACAUGAAAGCAAACACAAGAUGUACAUGGUUCACCCAGAUUGGCUACAUCCACGGAGUAGAGGAGUUCUCAUUAAUUGUGAAGGGUUUACACAAGUAUAUAGGUUCAAGCUCUCAUUUAGUGAGUACAAGUGAAUGAUUUAGUACAAAUGACAUAGGUUCAAGCUCUCGUCUUCACUUGCCUUAUCUGUCUCAUAGGUAGAUGUGGCAUCUUCUCUGGAAGUACUCUUCCUCCAUCCAAGGGUGGUAUCUUUAACUGGUGGAGAUGCACAAGGUAAUGUAUCAAUUUCACAUGAAGCUUACUUGUAGUUUCAGGCUUGGUCAAGCGCGAUACAAACCAUGUAGUAGGAGUCCCCCAAGUCGCUGAGCUAGGGGAUCUGCUGAAAGAGGCGACAGACAAGGUAAGCAAUCAGAGCUCCAAGAAAUCAGUCCCAGAUCAGAAGUUUGAUUUCGAGUUUCGGCUGAUUGUUCUCAUUCUCCUUAUCUUGCAGGCAGCAUGAAGGAUAAAGAGAAGAAAGAUGAUAUGAGAUACUUUUGCUUUUGAAGAAGUAACUUUCCACAGGCUUAUUCUUGAACUGGGCUGGAGGAUUUUCUGGUUUCCUCCAGAGUAUAAGGCCGACUGAAGAAUUUGAGGGUUAAAACAAGUCCAUCAAAUCUAGAGUACGUUUGACUCUGCUGAUAUGGGAUACUUUUGCUGUUGACAAAGUAGUGGAUGUAUCGGCACGUGUUCUGUUACGCUUGUCUCCACAUGUUUUCUUGUAUCCUUCUCAUUUUCCCUAUCUGUUCCUUAGGCAGAUGUUGUAUCUUCUCUGGAAGCAUAAGAUGUUGAAGAUGAGUACUCGAGAGCAAUGCCAGGUAAGUAAUCAGGUAAGGGGUUCCAGGCAGUCAGUUCCUGACUAGAAGCUUGAUUUCAAGUGCUGACUGAUUACUCUCUUUCUCCUUGUCUUGCAGGUAAGAACAAGGCCAAAGGAAAAGACAGGGAAAAAGCAUGAUAUGGGAUACUUUUGCAUUUAACCCUGAUGAUAUGAGAUAUUCUUGCUCUGGUGUAGCUUGUUUGCAGAGAGAUUAUCGGGGGGAAAGAAAGCUGAGUAUUUCGAGAGGCUUCGUUGGGAGUGCCCUCUCAGAUAUGAGGAAGGGUUGAGCAUUUUUGCAGGUCUGCCUGUCCGUUGAGGAUGGAGGUCGACAUAUAUAGGAGUUUCCCUAUCAACAAGUAGUAAUGCUAUUCCUUUACCCUGCUUGGUCAUAGCACGGUAGUGGGAGCUGCCAGCUUCACAUGUGUCAGAGCACUUUGAAAAAGUGGUCUGUGGUAUCUGGAAAGCUGAUGUUGCGUGUGAAGAUUACAGACAAACUUUAUCCAAGGAGAUCUGACUCUCGAAGUUGAGAAAGCGGUGCCUCUUUGGUUUUCGAACAAGCAAUCCUGUCGGGGAUUUGGCUCUCGAGAUUCGGAGAACGGUGCCUCUUCAAUUUUUUAGAGAGCAAUCAUGCUGGGAGUCUGGCUCUCGAGAUUCGGAUAGCCAUGUCUCUUCGAUUUUUGAGAAAGUAAUCAUGUUAGGAGUCUGGCUCUUGAGAUUCGGAGGACGGUGCCUCUUCGAUUUUGGAGUAAGCAAUCUUGUUGGGAGUGUUUUCUCGAAUGUGAGUAAAGGUUGGGCAUGUUUGCUAGUCUACCUUGCCACGGAGCAUAGAGGUUGACACAUAGGGACUUUCCAAUUAUCCAGCAGUGGUGCUGUUUCUUUACCCUUGUGGGUAAUAAUAUGGUAGCUAGACCUUCAAAAUUUAUGUGUCUAAACUUUGUUAGUGCUGUUUCUUUGCUAUUCUUUUACCCUUCUUGGUCAUAGCGAUGUAGUGGGAGCUGCAAGCUUCACGUGUCUAAACUUUGUCAGAGAUCUUUGGCAAAGUUAUCUGUGGUACCCAUGAGCUGAUG